UUGAACGCUGGCGGCAGGCCUCACACAUGCAAGUCGAACGGUAACAGGAAGAAGCUUGCUUCUUUGCUGACGAGUGGCGGACGGGUGAGUAAUGUCUGGGAAACUGCCUGAUGGAGGGGGAUAACUACUGGAAACGGUAGCUAAUACCGCAUAACGUCGCAAGACCAAAAAGGGGGACCUUCGGGCCUCUUGCCAUCGGAUGUGCCCAGAUGGGAUUAGCUAGUAGGUGGGGUAACGGCUCACCUAGGCGACGAUCCCUAGCUGGUCUGAGAGGAUGACCAGCCACACUGGAACUGAGACACGGUCCAGACUCCUACGGGAGGCAGCAGUGGGGAAUAUUGCACAAUGGGCGCAAGCCUGAUGCAGCCAUGCCGCGUGUAUGAAGAAGGCCUUCGGGUUGUAAAGUACUUUCAGCGGGGAGGAAGGGAGUAAAGUUAAUACCUUUGCUCAUUGACGUUACCCGCAGAAGAAGCACCGGCUAACUCCGUG
RNAcentral lists this ribosomal RNA (489 nucleotides) under uncultured bacterium. RNAcentral describes it as "partial 16S ribosomal RNA". It matches the Rfam family "Bacterial small subunit ribosomal RNA", at positions 30 to 507 of the family's 1533-position model. The record is from RNAcentral.